GUCCUUGUCGAUUAGUGGUUAAAUCAUCGCAUUGUGGUACCAUCAUAACUGCGAAGCCGGAAGUUCGAAUCCUCCUUGGGACA
This is a non-coding RNA of Leucogyrophana mollusca, 83 nucleotides long. NCBI's taxonomy places the organism in Eukaryota, Fungi, Basidiomycota, Agaricomycetes, Boletales. The record is from the annotation of a GenBank genome assembly.